RNAcentral lists this ribosomal RNA (274 nucleotides) under uncultured Staphylococcus sp. RNAcentral describes it as "partial 16S ribosomal RNA". It matches the Rfam family "Bacterial small subunit ribosomal RNA", at positions 89 to 355 of the family's 1533-position model. The record is from RNAcentral. Lineage: Bacteria; Bacillati; Bacillota; Bacilli; Caryophanales; Staphylococcaceae.
AUGUUAGCGGCGGACGGGUGAGUAACACGUGGGUAACCUACCUAUAAGACUGGGAUAACUCCGGGAAACCGGGGCUAAUACCGGAUAAUAUUUUGAACCGCAUGGUUCAAUAGUGAAAGACGGUUUCGGCUGUCACUUAUAGAUGGACCCGCGCCGUAUUAGCUAGUUGGUAAGGUAACGGCUUACCAAGGCGACGAUACGUAGCCGACCUGAGAGGGUGAUCGGCCACACUGGAACUGAGACACGGUCCAGACUCCUACGGGAGGCAGCAGUA